This 722-nucleotide ribosomal RNA is filed under the name Paenibacillus susongensis. RNAcentral's name for it is "bacterial SSU rRNA". It matches the Rfam family "Bacterial small subunit ribosomal RNA", at positions 56 to 767 of the family's 1533-position model. The record is from RNAcentral. Lineage: Bacteria; Bacillati; Bacillota; Bacilli; Caryophanales; Paenibacillaceae.
UGCAGUCGAGCGGAGUUAUUCCUUCGGGGAUAACUUAGCGGCGGACGGGUGAGUAACACGUAGGCAACCUGCCUGUAAGAUCGGGAUAACUACCGGAAACGGUAGCUAAGACCGAAUAAUCAGCUUGGUCGCAUGACCGAGCUGGGAAAAGCGGAGCAAUCUGCUACUUACAGAUGGGCCUGCGGCGCAUUAGCUAGUUGGUGGGGUAACGGCUCACCAAGGCGACGAUGCGUAGCCGACCUGAGAGGGUGAACGGCCACACUGGGACUGAGACACGGCCCAGACUCCUACGGGAGGCAGCAGUAGGGAAUCUUCCGCAAUGGACGCAAGUCUGACGGAGCAACGCCGCGUGAGUGAUGAAGGUUUUCGGAUCGUAAAGCUCUGUUGCCAGGGAAGAACGCUUGGGAGAGUAACUGCUCUGAAGGUGACGGUACCUGAGAAGAAAGCCCCGGCUAACUACGUGCCAGCAGCCGCGGUAAUACGUAGGGGGCAAGCGUUGUCCGGAAUUAUUGGGCGUAAAGCGCGCGCAGGCGGCUUUGUAAGUCUGGUGUUUAAACCUAGGGCUCAACCCUGGGUCGCAUUGGAAACUGCAAGGCUUGAGUGCAGAAGAGGAGAGUGGAAUUCCACGUGUAGCGGUGAAAUGCGUAGAGAUGUGGAGGAACACCAGUGGCGAAGGCGACUCUCUGGGCUGUAACUGACGCUGAGGCGCGAAAGCGUGGGGA